Molecule: ribosomal RNA, 497 nt
Filed under: uncultured bacterium
Lineage: Bacteria
Description: partial 16S ribosomal RNA
Rfam family: Bacterial small subunit ribosomal RNA
Source: RNAcentral
GACGAACGCUGGCGGCGUGCCUAAUACAUGCAAGUUGAGCGCUGAAGGUUGGUACUUGUACCAACUGGAUGAGCAGCGAACGGGUGAGUAACGCGUGGGGAAUCUGCCUUUGAGCGGGGGACAACAUUUGGAAACGAAUGCUAAUACCGCAUAAAAACUUUAAACACAAGUUUUAAGUUUGAAAGAUGCAAUUGCAUCACUCAAAGAUGAUCCCGCAUUGUAUUAGCUAGUUGGUGAGGUAAAGGCUCACCAAGGCGAUGAUACAUAGCCGACCUGAGAGGGUGAUCGGCCACAUUGGGACUGAGACACGGCCCAGACUCCUACGGGAGGCAGCAGUAGGGAAUCUUCGGCAAUGGACGAAAGUCUGACCGAGCAACGCCGCGUGAGUGAAGAAGGUUUUCGGAUCGUAAAACUCUGUUGGUAGAGAAGAACGUUGGUGAGAGUGGAAAGCUCAUCAAGUGACGGUAACUACCCAGAAAGGGACGGCUAACUACGUG